AUGGGCAAGACAACUCUUGCAAACCAAGUAUAUCAAGAGCUCAAGGGACAAUACGAUUGUCGGGCUUUCGUAUCGGUUUCACGAAAUCCAAACAUGAUGACUAUCUUGAGAACCAUUCUCAGUGAAGUGGCUAAUAAAGAUUAUGGUGACACGGAAGUGGGGAGUACACAACAACUCGUCAGCAAGAUCACUGAGUUCCUACAAGACAAAAGGUACUUUGUUGUUGUUGACGAUAUAUGGGACGUGGAUACCUGGCAUAUUAUUAAGUGUGCAUUCCCUGCUACAAGUUCUACCAGUAGAAUAGUCACGACUACUCGUAUAAACAAUGUCGCUCAUUCAUGUUGCUCAUCAUUCAAUGGCUGUGUUUACAAUAUAUGGGCUCUUGAUGUGGUGCACUCAAGACAGUUAGUUUAA
This 414-nucleotide ribosomal RNA is filed under the name Triticum aestivum (bread wheat). Its description in RNAcentral is "partial small subunit ribosomal RNA". Lineage: Eukaryota; Viridiplantae; Streptophyta; Magnoliopsida; Poales; Poaceae. The record is from RNAcentral.